GGGUUGUGAGGUUAAGCGACUAAGCGUACACGGUGGAUGCCCUGGCAGUCAGAGGCGAUGAAGGACGUGCUAAUCUGCGAUAAGCGUCGGUAAGGUGAUAUGAACCGUUAUAACCGGCGAUUUCCGAAUGGGGAAACCCAGUGUGUUUCGACACACUAUCAUUAACUGAAUCCAUAGGUUAAUGAGGCGAACCGGGGGAACUGAAACAUCUAAGUACCCCGAGGAAAAGAAAUCAACCGAGAUUCCCCCAGUAGCGGCGAGCGAACGGGGAGGAGCCCAGAGCCUGAAUCAGUGUGUGUGUUAGUGGAAGCGUCUGGAAAGGCGCGCGAUACAGGGUGACAGCCCCGUACACAAAAAUGCACAUGCUGUGAGCUCGAUGAGUAGGGCGGGACACGUGGUAUCCUGUCUGAAUAUGGGGGGACCAUCCUCCAAGGCUAAAUACUCCUGACUGACCGAUAGUGAACCAGUACCGUGAGGGAAAGGCGAAAAGAACCCCGGCGAGGGGAGUGAAAAAGAACCUGAAACCGUGUACGUACAAGCAGUGGGAGCACGCUUAGGCGUGUGACUGCGUACCUUUUGUAUAAUGGGUCAGCGACUUAUAUUCUGUAGCAAGGUUAACCGAAUAGGGGAGCCGAAGGGAAACCGAGUCUUAACUGGGCGUUAAGUUGCAGGGUAUAGACCCGAAACCCGGUGAUCUAGCCAUGGGCAGGUUGAAGGUUGGGUAACACUAACUGGAGGACCGAACCGACUAAUGUUGAAAAAUUAGCGGAUGACUUGUGGCUGGGGGUGAAAGGCCAAUCAAACCGGGAGAUAGCUGGUUCUCCCCGAAAGCUAUUUAGGUAGCGCCUCGUGAAUUCAUCUCCGGGGGUAGAGCACUGUUUCGGCAAGGGGGUCAUCCCGACUUACCAACCCGAUGCAAACUGCGAAUACCGGAGAAUGUUAUCACGGGAGACACACGGCGGGUGCUAACGUCCGUCGUGAAGAGGGAAACAACCCAGACCGCCAGCUAAGGUCCCAAAGUCAUGGUUAAGUGGGAAACGAUGUGGGAAGGCCCAGACAGCCAGGAUGUUGGCUUAGAAGCAGCCAUCAUUUAAAGAAAGCGUAAUAGCUCACUGGUCGAGUCGGCCUGCGCGGAAGAUGUAACGGGGCUAAACCAUGCACCGAAGCUGCGGCAGCGACGCUUAUGCGUUGUUGGGUAGGGGAGCGUUCUGUAAGCCUGCGAAGGUGUGCUGUGAGGCAUGCUGGAGGUAUCAGAAGUGCGAAUGCUGACAUAAGUAACGAUAAAGCGGGUGAAAAGCCCGCUCGCCGGAAGACCAAGGGUUCCUGUCCAACGUUAAUCGGGGCAGGGUGAGUCGACCCCUAAGGCGAGGCCGAAAGGCGUAGUCGAUGGGAAACAGGUUAAUAUUCCUGUACUUGGUGUUACUGCGAAGGGGGGACGGAGAAGGCUAUGUUGGCCGGGCGACGGUUGUCCCGGUUUAAGCGUGUAGGCUGGUUUUCCAGGCAAAUCCGGAAAACUAAGGCUGAGGCGUGAUGACGAGGCACUACGGUGCUGAAGCAACAAAUGCCCUGCUUCCAGGAAAAGCCUCUAAGCAUCAGGUAACAUCAAAUCGUACCCCAAACCGACACAGGUGGUCAGGUAGAGAAUACCAAGGCGCUUGAGAGAACUCGGGUGAAGGAACUAGGCAAAAUGGUGCCGUAACUUCGGGAGAAGGCACGCUGAUAUGUAGGUGAAGUCCCUCGCGGAUGGAGCUGAAAUCAGUCGAAGAUACCAGCUGGCUGCAACUGUUUAUUAAAAACACAGCACUGUGCAAACACGAAAGUGGACGUAUACGGUGUGACGCCUGCCCGGUGCCGGAAGGUUAAUUGAUGGGGUUAGCGCAAGCGAAGCUCUUGAUCGAAGCCCCGGUAAACGGCGGCCGUAACUAUAACGGUCCUAAGGUAGCGAAAUUCCUUGUCGGGUAAGUUCCGACCUGCACGAAUGGCGUAAUGAUGGCCAGGCUGUCUCCACCCGAGACUCAGUGAAAUUGAACUCGCUGUGAAGAUGCAGUGUACCCGCGGCAAGACGGAAAGACCCCGUGAACCUUUACUAUAGCUUGACACUGAACAUUGAGCCUUGAUGUGUAGGAUAGGUGGGAGGCUUUGAAGUGUGGACGCCAGUCUGCAUGGAGCCGACCUUGAAAUACCACCCUUUAAUGUUUGAUGUUCUAACGUGGACCCGUAAUCCGGGUUGCGGACAGUGUCUGGUGGGUAGUUUGACUGGGGCGGUCUCCUCCUAAAGAGUAACGGAGGAGCACGAAGGUUGGCUAAUCCUGGUCGGACAUCAGGAGGUUAGUGCAAUGGCAUAAGCCAGCUUGACUGCGAGCGUGACGGCGCGAGCAGGUGCGAAAGCAGGUCAUAGUGAUCCGGUGGUUCUGAAUGGAAGGGCCAUCGCUCAACGGAUAAAAGGUACUCCGGGGAUAACAGGCUGAUACCGCCCAAGAGUUCAUAUCGACGGCGGUGUUUGGCACCUCGAUGUCGGCUCAUCACAUCCUGGGGCUGAAGUAGGUCCCAAGGGUAUGGCUGUUCGCCAUUUAAAGUGGUACGCGAGCUGGGUUUAGAACGUCGUGAGACAGUUCGGUCCCUAUCUGCCGUGGGCGCUGGAGAACUGAGGGGGGCUGCUCCUAGUACGAGAGGACCGGAGUGGACGCAUCACUGGUGUUCGGGUUGUCAUGCCAAUGGCACUGCCCGGUAGCUAAAUGCGGAAGAGAUAAGUGCUGAAAGCAUCUAAGCACGAAACUUGCCCCGAGAUGAGUUCUCCCUGACUCCUUGAGAGUCCUGAAGGAACGUUGAAGACGACGACGUUGAUAGGCCGGGUGUGUAAGCGCAGCGAUGCGUUGAGCUAACCGGUACUAAUGAACCGUGAGGCUUAACCUUACAACGCCGAAGGUGUUU
Molecule: ribosomal RNA, 2931 nt
Filed under: Escherichia coli
Lineage: Bacteria; Pseudomonadati; Pseudomonadota; Gammaproteobacteria; Enterobacterales; Enterobacteriaceae
Description: 23S ribosomal RNA
Rfam family: Bacterial large subunit ribosomal RNA
Source: RNAcentral